Molecule: transfer RNA, 77 nt
Filed under: Alphaproteobacteria bacterium
Lineage: Bacteria; Pseudomonadati; Pseudomonadota; Alphaproteobacteria
Also listed under: 1 other name
Description: tRNA-Arg
Rfam family: tRNA
About the family: Transfer RNA (tRNA) molecules are approximately 80 nucleotides in length. Their secondary structure includes four short double-helical elements and three loops (D, anti-codon, and T loops).
Source: RNAcentral
GGCCCCGUAGCUCAGCGGAAUAGAGCAACUGCCUUCUAAGCAGUGGGUCGCACGUUCGAUUCGUGCCGGGGUCACCA